RNAcentral lists this ribosomal RNA (497 nucleotides) under uncultured bacterium. RNAcentral describes it as "partial 16S ribosomal RNA". It matches the Rfam family "Bacterial small subunit ribosomal RNA", at positions 28 to 507 of the family's 1533-position model. The record is from RNAcentral.
GAUGAACGCUGGCGGCGUGCCUAAUACAUGCAAGUCGAGCGAACGGACGAGAAGCUUGCUUCUCUGAUGUUAGCGGCGGACGGGUGAGUAACACGUGGAUAACCUACCUAUAAGACUGGGAUAACUUCGGGAAACCGGAGCUAAUACCGGAUAAUAUUUUGAACCGCAUGGUUCAAAAGUGAAAGACGGUCUUGGUGUCACUUAUAGAUGGAUCCGCGCUGCAUUAGCUAGUUGGUAAGGUAACGGCUUACCAAGGCAACGAUGCAUAGCCGACCUACGAGGGUGAUCGGCCACACUGGAACGGAGACACGGACCAUGCUCCUACGGGAGGCAGCAGUAGGGAAUCUUCCGCAGUGGGCGAAAGCCUGACGGAGCAACGCCGCGUGAGUGAUGAAGGUCUUCGGAGCGUAAAACUCUGUUAUUAGGGAAGAACAUAUGUGUAAGUAACUGUGCACAUCUUGACGGUACCUAAUCAGAAAGCCACGGCUAACUACGUG